CAGCAGCCGCGGUAAUACGGAGGGUGCAAGCAUUAAUCGGAAUUACUGGGCGUAAAGCGCACGCAGGCGGUCUGACAAGUCAGAUGUGAAAUCCCCGGGCUUAACCUGGGAACUGCAUUUGAAACUGUCAGGCUGGAGUCUUGUAGAGGGGGGUGGAAUUCCAGGUGUAGCGGUGAAAUGCGUAGAGAUCUGGAGGAAUACCGGUGGCGAAGGCGGCCCCCUGGACAAAGACUGACGCUCAGGUGCGAAAGCGUGGGGAGCAAACAGGAUUAGAUACCCCUGUAGUCCCUGUCUCUUAUAC
Molecule: ribosomal RNA, 301 nt
Filed under: uncultured bacterium
Lineage: Bacteria
Description: partial 16S ribosomal RNA
Rfam family: Bacterial small subunit ribosomal RNA
Source: RNAcentral